This 252-nucleotide ribosomal RNA is filed under the name uncultured bacterium. RNAcentral's name for it is "partial 16S ribosomal RNA". It matches the Rfam family "Bacterial small subunit ribosomal RNA", at positions 524 to 775 of the family's 1533-position model. The record is from RNAcentral.
UACAGAGGGUGCAAGCGUUUAAUCGGAAUUACUGGGCGUAAAGCGCAUGUAGGUGGACUGUUAAGUUUGAUGUGAAAGCCCUGGGCUUAACCUGGGAAUGGCGUUGAAGACUGGCAGACUAGAGUCGGACAGAGGGCCGUGGAAUUUCCGGUGUAGCGGUGAAAUGCGUAGAUAUCGGAAGGAACACCAGUGGCGAAAGCGGCUUCCUGGUCCAGCACCGACGUCAGGCACGAAAGCGUGGGGAGCAACAGG